RNAcentral lists this ribosomal RNA (1520 nucleotides) under Salmonella enterica subsp. enterica serovar London. RNAcentral describes it as "bacterial SSU rRNA". It matches the Rfam family "Bacterial small subunit ribosomal RNA". The record is from RNAcentral. Lineage: Bacteria; Pseudomonadati; Pseudomonadota; Gammaproteobacteria; Enterobacterales; Enterobacteriaceae.
UGAAGAGUUUGAUCAUGGCUCAGAUUGAACGCUGGCGGCAGGCCUAACACAUGCAAGUCGAACGGUAACAGGAAGCAGCUUGCUGCUUUGCUGACGAGUGGCGGACGGGUGAGUAAUGUCUGGGAAACUGCCUGAUGGAGGGGGAUAACUACUGGAAACGGUGGCUAAUACCGCAUAACGUCGCAAGACCAAAGAGGGGGACCUUCGGGCCUCUUGCCAUCAGAUGUGCCCAGAUGGGAUUAGCUUGUUGGUGAGGUAACGGCUCACCAAGGCGACGAUCCCUAGCUGGUCUGAGAGGAUGACCAGCCACACUGGAACUGAGACACGGUCCAGACUCCUACGGGAGGCAGCAGUGGGGAAUAUUGCACAAUGGGCGCAAGCCUGAUGCAGCCAUGCCGCGUGUAUGAAGAAGGCCUUCGGGUUGUAAAGUACUUUCAGCGGGGAGGAAGGUGUUGCGGUUAAUAACCGCAGCAAUUGACGUUACCCGCAGAAGAAGCACCGGCUAACUCCGUGCCAGCAGCCGCGGUAAUACGGAGGGUGCAAGCGUUAAUCGGAAUUACUGGGCGUAAAGCGCACGCAGGCGGUCUGUCAAGUCGGAUGUGAAAUCCCCGGGCUCAACCUGGGAACUGCAUUCGAAACUGGCAGGCUUGAGUCUUGUAGAGGGGGGUAGAAUUCCAGGUGUAGCGGUGAAAUGCGUAGAGAUCUGGAGGAAUACCGGUGGCGAAGGCGGCCCCCUGGACAAAGACUGACGCUCAGGUGCGAAAGCGUGGGGAGCAAACAGGAUUAGAUACCCUGGUAGUCCACGCCGUAAACGAUGUCUACUUGGAGGUUGUGCCCUUGAGGCGUGGCUUCCGGAGCUAACGCGUUAAGUAGACCGCCUGGGGAGUACGGCCGCAAGGUUAAAACUCAAAUGAAUUGACGGGGGCCCGCACAAGCGGUGGAGCAUGUGGUUUAAUUCGAUGCAACGCGAAGAACCUUACCUGGUCUUGACAUCCACAGAACUUUCCAGAGAUGGAUUGGUGCCUUCGGGAACUGUGAGACAGGUGCUGCAUGGCUGUCGUCAGCUCGUGUUGUGAAAUGUUGGGUUAAGUCCCGCAACGAGCGCAACCCUUAUCCUUUGUUGCCAGCGGUCCGGCCGGGAACUCAAAGGAGACUGCCAGUGAUAAACUGGAGGAAGGUGGGGAUGACGUCAAGUCAUCAUGGCCCUUACGACCAGGGCUACACACGUGCUACAAUGGCGCAUACAAAGAGAAGCGACCUCGCGAGAGCAAGCGGACCUCAUAAAGUGCGUCGUAGUCCGGAUUGGAGUCUGCAACUCGACUCCAUGAAGUCGGAAUCGCUAGUAAUCGUGGAUCAGAAUGCCACGGUGAAUACGUUCCCGGGCCUUGUACACACCGCCCGUCACACCAUGGGAGUGGGUUGCAAAAGAAGUAGGUAGCUUAACCUUCGGGAGGGCGCUUACCACUUUGUGAUUCAUGACUGGGGUGAAGUCGUAACAAGGUAACCGUAGGGGAACCUGC